RNAcentral lists this unclassified non-coding RNA (522 nucleotides) under Hevea brasiliensis (rubber tree). The record is from RNAcentral. Lineage: Eukaryota; Viridiplantae; Streptophyta; Magnoliopsida; Malpighiales; Euphorbiaceae.
AUUCUAUCUUUCCAUACUGCAUUAGCUGGUUAAGAAGCUAAUAUGUGAGAGCAAGCUACGCCUUAAGUGCAGAACAUUAGAACAUUAACAAGAGAUAGAGCUGGUGGACAUGAAAGGCAUGACACUUGAUACAGCCUGCAUUUAGAGGACAAAAUGGGAGAGAAAAGUAGGGAGAUUGGAACAUAGGUUACAAGCUUUGGUACGUGGGAAAGAAUGAGUACAGAGUGCUACAGGGAUUGUUGGCAACAGGAGCUUAAAAGAUGAAGUGGUUUGAGUAAACAGAAAGAAAGAGAAGAUUAACUUUUGAUGAAGCUAAUACUUUUAAGGAUAGACAAUAAAACACAUUAGCAUUAUGCAUCAGCUUGGACAUGAUAGUAAACAAAAAUUUAUAGGAUAAGAUGCACUAACUCAUCUAAGGGAUAUCGAAAGACAGAAAUAUCUUAAUGGAGGCGAUAUAAAUGGGAUUUGGAGAGGAUAAUGAAGGACUUCAAAUGGUGUAUGGAGGCUAUGGAAGUAGAUAUG